GUGGAUACCAAUAUCCAAAUAAACCCGGCGGCGGAGGCAGAGCCCACAUUUCCCUCGGAUUUCACCGACUCUCUUCAAGAUCACAAGACGCCGUUCUUCAAAUCCCGCUCUCGCAGAAGAAGAAGUGACACAUGGGUCAUUUCCAUCUUCGUUAUCUUCCACCUGAUAGCCUUCAUCGCCACCAUGAUCGUCAACGAUUGCUGGACUAACUCUAAUGGUGAUUGCGCUGUCAAAGCCCUCAGAAGGAUGUCG
RNAcentral lists this unclassified non-coding RNA (252 nucleotides) under Hevea brasiliensis (rubber tree). The record is from RNAcentral. Lineage: Eukaryota; Viridiplantae; Streptophyta; Magnoliopsida; Malpighiales; Euphorbiaceae.